Molecule: long non-coding RNA, 451 nt
Filed under: Sorghum bicolor (sorghum)
Lineage: Eukaryota; Viridiplantae; Streptophyta; Magnoliopsida; Poales; Poaceae
Description: long non-coding RNA (SBIC_LNC004098)
Source: RNAcentral
UAAUUCACACGCAGAAAUCGACGGUUUGCAGGAAGUCGUCCAUGCCGCGGCCCAGGUCGCAGCCAGGCAUCUCCGGGAAGACGUCGUUGAUGUCGUCGAGGUCGAGGUCAAUCUCCAGCUCCUCAUCCCCGAAGUCCCCAAGCAGGAGGUCCUGUUCGUCGUCCAGGCAGAAGGCCGCGUCCGAGACGUCCAGCGCGUCCAGCCCGGCGCGGAAGUCCAUCGGGUCGAUGUCGGGCAGCUGCAGGCCGCGCAGAAGGUCCUGGUAGAACUCUGGGUCGUCCGGCAGCUGCGCAGCAGAUUCAGUGGACGGCGGCAGGACGACGGGUGUUGGUGUCGCGACCGGCUCUGGAGACUCGGGGUUCGGCGCUGCUGCCUUGGUGGUGGAUUCGAGCACGGACGACGGCGACGGGUGCGCGAACGGAGCAGUCGAGGUGGACGACGAAGAGGACGC